This 2902-nucleotide ribosomal RNA is filed under the name Escherichia coli. Its description in RNAcentral is "bacterial LSU rRNA". It matches the Rfam family "Bacterial large subunit ribosomal RNA". The record is from RNAcentral. Lineage: Bacteria; Pseudomonadati; Pseudomonadota; Gammaproteobacteria; Enterobacterales; Enterobacteriaceae.
UUAAGCGACUAAGCGUACACGGUGGAUGCCCUGGCAGUCAGAGGCGAUGAAGGACGUGCUAAUCUGCGAUAAGCGUCGGUGAGGUGAUAUGAACCGUUAUAACCGGCGAUUUCCGAAUGGGGAAACCCAGUGUGUUUCGACACACUAUCAUUAACUGAAUCCAUAGGUUAAUGAGGCGAACCGGGGGAACUGAAACAUCUAAGUACCCCGAGGAAAAGAAAUCAACCGAGAUUCCCCCAGUAGCGGCGAGCGAACGGGGAGGAGCCCAGAGCCUGAAUCAGUGUGUGUGUUAGUGGAAGCGUCUGGAAAGGCGCGCGAUACAGGGUGACAGCCCCGUACACAAAAAUGCACAUAUUGUGAGCUCGAUGAGUAGGGCGGGACACGUGGUAUCCUGUCUGAAUAUGGGGGGACCAUCCUCCAAGGCUAAAUACUCCUGACUGACCGAUAGUGAACCAGUACCGUGAGGGAAAGGCGAAAAGAACCCCGGCGAGGGGAGUGAAAAAGAACCUGAAACCGUGUACGUACAAGCAGUGGGAGCCUCUUAAUGGGGUGACUGCGUACCUUUUGUAUAAUGGGUCAGCGACUUAUAUUCUGUAGCAAGGUUAACCGAAUAGGGGAGCCGAAGGGAAACCGAGUCUUAACUGGGCGUUAAGUUGCAGGGUAUAGACCCGAAACCCGGUGAUCUAGCCAUGGGCAGGUUGAAGGUUGGGUAACACUAACUGGAGGACCGAACCGACUAAUGUUGAAAAAUUAGCGGAUGACUUGUGGCUGGGGGUGAAAGGCCAAUCAAACCGGGAGAUAGCUGGUUCUCCCCGAAAGCUAUUUAGGUAGCGCCUCGUGAAUUCAUCUCCGGGGGUAGAGCACUGUUUCGGCAAGGGGGUCAUCCCGACUUACCAACCCGAUGCAAACUGCGAAUACCGGAGAAUGUUAUCACGGGAGACACACGGCGGGUGCUAACGUCCGUCGUGAAGAGGGAAACAACCCAGACCGCCAGCUAAGGUCCCAAAGUCAUGGUUAAGUGGGAAACGAUGUGGGAAGGCCCAGACAGCCAGGAUGUUGGCUUAGAAGCAGCCAUCAUUUAAAGAAAGCGUAAUAGCUCACUGGUCGAGUCGGCCUGCGCGGAAGAUGUAACGGGGCUAAACCAUGCACCGAAGCUGCGGCAGCGACACUAUGUGUUGUUGGGUAGGGGAGCGUUCUGUAAGCCUGUGAAGGUGGCCUGUGAGGGUUGCUGGAGGUAUCAGAAGUGCGAAUGCUGACAUAAGUAACGAUAAAGCGGGUGAAAAGCCCGCUCGCCGGAAGACCAAGGGUUCCUGUCCAACGUUAAUCGGGGCAGGGUGAGUCGACCCCUAAGGCGAGGCCGAAAGGCGUAGUCGAUGGGAAACAGGUUAAUAUUCCUGUACUUGGUGUUACUGCGAAGGGGGGACGGAGAAGGCUAUGUUGGCCGGGCGACGGUUGUCCCGGUUUAAGCGUGUAGGCUGGUUUUCCAGGCAAAUCCGGAAAACCAAGGCUGAGGCGUGAUGACGAGGCACUACGGUGCUGAAGUGACAAAUGCCCUGCUUCCAGGAAAAGCCUCUAAGCAUCAGGUAACAUCAAAUCGUACCCCAAACCGACACAGGUGGUCAGGUAGAGAAUACCAAGGCGCUUGAGAGAACUCGGGUGAAGGAACUAGGCAAAAUGGUGCCGUAACUUCGGGAGAAGGCACGCUGAUAUGUAGGUGAAGCGACUUGCUCGUGGAGCUGAAAUCAGUCGAAGAUACCAGCUGGCUGCAACUGUUUAUUAAAAACACAGCACUGUGCAAACACGAAAGUGGACGUAUACGGUGUGACGCCUGCCCGGUGCCGGAAGGUUAAUUGAUGGGGUUAGCGGUAACGCGAAGCUCUUGAUCGAAGCCCCGGUAAACGGCGGCCGUAACUAUAACGGUCCUAAGGUAGCGAAAUUCCUUGUCGGGUAAGUUCCGACCUGCACGAAUGGCGUAAUGAUGGCCAGGCUGUCUCCACCCGAGACUCAGUGAAAUUGAACUCGCUGUGAAGAUGCAGUGUACCCGCGGCAAGACGGAAAGACCCCGUGAACCUUUACUAUAGCUUGACACUGAACAUUGAGCCUUGAUGUGUAGGAUAGGUGGGAGGCUUUGAAGUGUGGACGCCAGUCUGCAUGGAGCCGACCUUGAAAUACCACCCUUUAAUGUUUGAUGUUCUAACGUUGGCCCCUAAUCGGGGUUGCGGACAGUGUCUGGUGGGUAGUUUGACUGGGGCGGUCUCCUCCUAAAGAGUAACGGAGGAGCACGAAGGUUGGCUAAUCCUGGUCGGACAUCAGGAGGUUAGUGCAAUGGCAUAAGCCAGCUUGACUGCGAGCGUGACGGCGCGAGCAGGUGCGAAAGCAGGUCAUAGUGAUCCGGUGGUUCUGAAUGGAAGGGCCAUCGCUCAACGGAUAAAAGGUACUCCGGGGAUAACAGGCUGAUACCGCCCAAGAGUUCAUAUCGACGGCGGUGUUUGGCACCUCGAUGUCGGCUCAUCACAUCCUGGGGCUGAAGUAGGUCCCAAGGGUAUGGCUGUUCGCCAUUUAAAGUGGUACGCGAGCUGGGUUUAGAACGUCGUGAGACAGUUCGGUCCCUAUCUGCCGUGGGCGCUGGAGAACUGAGGGGGGCUGCUCCUAGUACGAGAGGACCGGAGUGGACGCAUCACUGGUGUUCGGGUUGUCAUGCCAAUGGCACUGCCCGGUAGCUAAAUGCGGAAGAGAUAAGUGCUGAAAGCAUCUAAGCACGAAACUUGCCCCGAGAUGAGUUCUCCCUGAGACUUAGAGUCUCCUGAAGGAACGUUGAAGACGACGACGUUGAUAGGCCGGGUGUGUAAGCGCAGCGAUGCGUUGAGCUAACCGGUACUAAUGAACCGUGAGGCUUAACCUU